Molecule: long non-coding RNA, 2471 nt
Filed under: Homo sapiens (human)
Lineage: Eukaryota; Metazoa; Chordata; Mammalia; Primates; Hominidae
Description: non-protein coding lnc-GGCT-1:87
Source: RNAcentral
CAGAUUUAUUUCUUCUUGCCUAGAGACCAUUAUGAUAAUGCAGCAGGGCCACCAGUCAGUUUCAGAUAAUGAUGUCAACCCCGGCCACCAAGAAGUAACCUUGUCUCCACUAGACAGAGCAGGUUGCAGGAAUUUAGCCAAUUCAGAGGUCUUGUUCUCCAUAAUUUGGAAUUUUCCUUCGGAUUUGAUCAAGUUGGAUAGAGUUGGUCAAACCCAAUGGGAAAAAGAUGAAAACAACAAGAAACAGAAACAAACAGCAACAACAACAACAACAAAAACAAUGCAUUUAAUUAAAUGAAGAUGAGCUCAUGCUGGAGUAGGGUGGACUCUGAACCCAGUGGGACAAGCGUCCUUAUUAAGAAGAGGGAAAUCUGGACACACACAGAGCAGAGACCGCCGUGUGAAGAUGGAGGCAGAGAUCGGAGAGAUGCUGCCACACGCCACAAAUGCCUGGGGCUCCCAGAAACUACACGGAGCCUCCCCCAGCGGCUUCAGCAGGAGCAUGGCUCGGCCAACACUUUGAUCUUGGUCUUCCAGCCUCCAGAACGUUUUCCUAAAAUUCCCUUUUCCACUGGUGUGUGGUGCAAGAUGAGGCACAUUUUCCAUGGAUGGUGAACAGAGGGAGGAGCCUUUUGAUCACAACCAGGUCACCCCACUUCUAAGCCACUGUGCCUCCAGCCCCACAAGACUAAGGAGAGAGAGCGCAGCGUGGUGGAGAGUGAGCUGUGCUGGGACCAUUGUUUCCGUAACCUCGUUUUCUGUGUCCAGCUGACACACCUUCAAAGUGGCAUCAGGUCCUAAACUGUAGCUUGCAAUGUGCCUGUUUCCAGAAACCAAGGUGAAAGUGCUUUUAGACAGUGUUCCCAUGCAAGAGUCCCUUCCCAGCUUUUUUCUGGAAAUGCAUGUUUCUCUGAACUCUGAGUCCCAAGAAAAAUCACUUGAGACACCAAGAAAAUGGGGGAAGUGCUAAAAUUGUGUGGGAAUUCAAGCUUAACAAUAAACAUCAAGACAUUUUUGAUAAAAAUGAAUCCACUGACAUCGGGGAGGAGCAAGAGAACAGCACGCUGACACUGGGUCAGAGGCUAAGACCGACAUUUCUGGGAACCACUCCCGGAAGGGCACAGAGGAGACGCUUUCAGCCUCUCAUCAGCCAGCCUGGCCUGUAGCUGCUGCACGUUAUGAGUGUGUUCCUGGCAUGACUGCUUCUAACAACUGGGUCUCGCUUGUUGCCCAGGCUGUAGUGCACUGGUGCAAUCAUGGCUCACUGCAGCCUUGACCUCCUGGAUCAAGGUAUCCUCCCACCUCUCAGCCUCCCAAGCAGCUGGGACUAUGGGUGCAUGCCACCACACCCAGCUAAUUUUUGUAUUUAUGGAGAUAUGGGUCUCACCAUGUUACCCAGGCUGGUCUUGAACUUCUGGGCUCAAGCCUUCUGCCUGCCCUGGCCUUCCAAAGCAUUGGAAUUACAGGCCUGAGCCACUGUGCUAGGCCAGAGCCAACAGGACUUACUGAGAAAUUAUCUGAGAGAGAGGGGUCAAGGAAGACUCCCCCUGUUCAACCAAGCAACGAGGUGAAUGGUGCUGCUGCUUCCUGAGAUGGGGAAGACUGUAGAGGAAACAAACCAGGAACGACAAAUCAGUAAUUUAGCUUUGAAUACAUUAGGUUUGAGAUGGCUAGUCUGUACCCAAACAGACCACACUGUGGCAUCUGGGCAGCAGGAUCUGCAGAAUCCAGCAGGAUGGAUGCUGAUGCCAAGCUGAGUAGACAGUUGGGUCUGUGAGUCUAAAGCUCAGGGAAGACCUCAGGGUCUGGGAUACAAAUCUGGAGAUCAUCACCCUGUCCAUGAAAGCCAAGGGAAUGAUGGAAGAUACUAUGAGAAAAAGUGAAGAGAGGAAAGAGAAGAGGUCCAUGGAAGGAGACCUGGGAGAAUCCAACCUUCGAUUAGAUCAGGAAGAGGAGAAGAAUCCAGUAAAAAACUCUGAGAAGUCUCUGGGAAGGAAGUCUUCCUUCCUUCCCCUGUACCAGGAGAGGUGCUAUCCCAGAAAUUAGUAAAGAAACAGUUUUUGAUGGGGAGAACAGGAUCACCUUUGUCAACUGCUGCUGCGAGACUUGGAAAAAUAAGGACUGGGAAGAGAGCAAUAGAAACUUUGAAAGCCAUUGGUUAUCUUGAUAAGAGUUGUUUCUGUGGGGGUGGUGAGAACUGGAGCCUGACUGGAUGGGUUCAAGAGAGAAUGGGGAGUUCUAGCCAAGAAGGCUGAUGAGGAUGAGUCAAAUUAAAAAUGUUUUCUUUUUAUGAGUCCUCUCAUAUUUACUGAUACAACUGAUAUAUUGGGUCUCCAUUCUGCCACAUUACUUUAUAUUGAUCAUGUAUUGUAUCUGCUAUGCAAUUGUAUUGCAUGUAUCUGCAUGGCAAUUGUAUUGCCAUGCAAUGUAUUUUUUUUUACUUUAAAAAUUAUAUUUAUAAAGGUUUGUAA